AUUGAACGCUGGCGGAAUGCUUUACACAUGCAAGUCGAACGGUAGAGGGGGCAACCCCUCGAGAGUGGCGAAUGGGUGAGUAAUAUAUCGGAACGUGCCCAGUCGUGGGGGAUAACGUAGCGAAAGUUACGCUAAUACCGCAUACGAUCUAAGGAUGAAAGCGGGGGAUCGCAAGACCUCGCGCGAUUGGAGCGGCCGAUAUCAGAUUAGGUAGUUGGUGGGGUAAAGGCUCACCAAGCCAACGAUCUGUAGCUGGUCUGAGAGGACGACCGGCCACACUGGAACUGAGACACGGUCCAGACUCCUACGGGAGUCAGCAGUGGGGAAUUUUGGACAAUGGACGCAAGUCUGAUCCAGCCAUUCCGCGUGCAGGAUGAAGGCCCUCGGGUUGUAAACUGCUUUUGUACGGAACGAAAAGGUCUCUCUUAAUACGGGGGACUCAUGACGGUACCGUAAGAAUAAGCACCGGCUAACUACGUGCCAGCCGCCGCGGUAA
This 496-nucleotide ribosomal RNA is filed under the name uncultured bacterium. RNAcentral's name for it is "partial 16S ribosomal RNA". It matches the Rfam family "Bacterial small subunit ribosomal RNA", at positions 30 to 523 of the family's 1533-position model. The record is from RNAcentral.